RNAcentral lists this ribosomal RNA (448 nucleotides) under uncultured bacterium. RNAcentral's name for it is "bacterial SSU rRNA". It matches the Rfam family "Bacterial small subunit ribosomal RNA", at positions 29 to 506 of the family's 1533-position model. The record is from RNAcentral.
ACGAACGCUGGCGGCAUGCCUAACACAUGCAAGUCGAACGAAUAAGAGCCUAGCUUGCUAGGAAUUCUGUUAGUGGCAGACGGGUGCGUAACACGUGGGAACUUACCUUGCAGUAUGGGAUAACAACGGGAAACUGUUGCUAAUACCAUAUACUCUCUGAGGAGAAAAGAUUUAUCGCUGUAAGAUAGGCCCGCGCUAGAUUAGGUAGUUGGUGGGGUAAUGGCCUACCAAGCCUACGAUCUAUAGCUGGUCUGAGAGGACGACCAGCCACACUGGGACUGAGACACGGCCCAGACUCCUACGGGAGGCAGCAGUGGGGAAUAUUGGACAAUGGGCGAAAGCCUGAUCCAGCAAUGUCGCGUGAAUGAUGAAGGCCUUAGGGUUGUAAAGUUCUUUCGGUGGGGAAGAUAAUGACGGUACCCACAUAAGAAGCUCCGGCUAACUCCGU